RNAcentral lists this ribosomal RNA (488 nucleotides) under uncultured bacterium. RNAcentral's name for it is "bacterial SSU rRNA". It matches the Rfam family "Bacterial small subunit ribosomal RNA", at positions 28 to 514 of the family's 1533-position model. The record is from RNAcentral.
GACGAACGCUGGCGGCGUGCCUAACACAUGCAAGUCGAACGGGGUGAUACCUUCGGGUAUCACUUAGUGGCGAACGGGUGAGUAACGCGUGAGGAACCUGCCUCUCAGUGGGGGACAACAGUUGGAAACGACUGCUAAUACCGCAUAAUGUAGCGAGAUCGCAUGGUCUUGCUACCAAAGCUUUAUGUGCUGAGAGAUGGCCUCGCGUCUGAUUAGCUAGUUGGUGAGGUAACGGCUCACCAAGGCGACGAUCAGUAGCCGGUCUGAGAGGAUGAACGGCCACAUUGGGACUGAGAUACGGCCCAGACUCCUACGGGAGGCAGCAGUGGGGAAUAUUGGGCAAUGGGGGAAACCCUGACCCAGCAACGCCGCGUGAAGGAUGAAGGUUCUAUGGAUUGUAAACUUCUUUUGUCUGAGGGUAAAAAAGCGGACGUGUCCGUUCUUGCAAGUAUCAGACGAAUAAGCAUCGGCUAACUCCGUGCCAGCAG